RNAcentral lists this ribosomal RNA (454 nucleotides) under uncultured bacterium. RNAcentral's name for it is "partial 16S ribosomal RNA". It matches the Rfam family "Bacterial small subunit ribosomal RNA", at positions 341 to 792 of the family's 1533-position model. The record is from RNAcentral.
ACGGGAGGCAGCAGUGAGGAAUAUUGGUCAAUGGGCGGAAGCCUGAACCAGCCAAGUCGCGUGAAGGAUGAAGGUAUUAUGUAUUGUAAACUUCUUUAGACGUAGAGAAAUAAGGCGCUCGUGAGCGCUGAUGCUAGUAUACGUAGAAUAAGGAUCGGCUAACUCCGUGCCAGCAGCCGCGGUAAUACGGAGGAUGCAAGCGUUAUCCGGAUUUAUUGGGUUUAAAGGGUGCGUAGGCGGACUGUUAAGUCAGCGGUGAAAUACCACGGCUCAACCGUGGGGCUGCCGUUGAUACUGGCGGUCUGGAGUACGAUCGGCGCCGGCGGAAUGUGUCAUGUAGCGGUGAAAUGCAUAGAUAUGACACAGAACACCGAUCGCGAAGGCAGCUGGCGAGAACGAUACUGACGCUGAGGCACGAAGGUGCGGGGAUCAAACAGGAUUAGAUACCCUGGUA